This 253-nucleotide ribosomal RNA is filed under the name uncultured bacterium. RNAcentral's name for it is "partial 16S ribosomal RNA". It matches the Rfam family "Bacterial small subunit ribosomal RNA", at positions 524 to 776 of the family's 1533-position model. The record is from RNAcentral.
UACGUAGGGUGCGAGCGUUAAUCGGAAUUACUGGGCGUAAAGCGUGCGUAGUCGGUUAUCUAAGUCGGGUGUGAAAUCCCCGGGCUCAACCUGGGAAUUGCAUUCGAUACUGGAUAGCUAGAGUUCGGCAGAGGGAAGCGGAAUUUCGGGUGUAGCGGUGAAAUGCGUAGAUAUCCGAAGGAACAUCAGUGGCGAAAGCGGCUUCCUGGACCAGAACUGACGCUGAGGAGCGAAAGCCAGGGGAGCAAACGGG